Molecule: ribosomal RNA, 355 nt
Filed under: biocide-degrading bacterium A9-1A
Lineage: Bacteria
Description: bacterial SSU rRNA
Rfam family: Bacterial small subunit ribosomal RNA
Source: RNAcentral
UCUGGAGGCUUGCCUUAGCAAUGCAAGUCGAACGGCAGCGCGGGCUUCGGCCUGGCGGCGAGUGGCGAACGGGUGAGUAAUACAUCGGAACGUGCCCUGUUGUGGGGGAUAACUAGUCGAAAGAUUAGCUAAUACCGCAUACGACCUGAGGGUGAAAGCGGGGGACCGGUAACGGCCUCGCGCAAUAGGAGCGGCCGAUGUCUGAUUAGCUAGUUGGUGGGGUAAAGGCCUACCAAGGCGACGAUCAGUAGCUGGUCUGAGAGGACGAUCAGCCACACUGGGACUGAGACACGGCCCAGACUCCUACGGGAGGCAGCAGUGGGAAAUUUUGGACAAUGGGGGCAACCCUGAUCCA